Molecule: long non-coding RNA, 2490 nt
Filed under: Pelobates cultripes (western spadefoot toad)
Lineage: Eukaryota; Metazoa; Chordata; Amphibia; Anura; Pelobatidae
Source: RNAcentral
GAGCUGUCCAGGAGGUGGGAGGGUCUGCUGCUGAUUGGCUGGAAUGUGUCUGCUGACUGUGAGGUACAGGGUCAAAGUUUACUCAAUGAUAAGUCCGCGGCGAACCGUGGCGAACCGUUCGGGACAUCACUACUCUCUAAAGGUGUUAAAAUUAAUGUUUUGUUUAAAAAAAAAUGUAUAUUUACAACCAAUAAUGAGCUCUUUAUAAAUUUAAGGGAACACUCCCACACCAUAGCAAACCAAACUCAUUUUACCCCUUAAGGACCAAACUUCUGGAAUAAAAGGGAAUCAUGACAUGUCACACAUGUCAUGUGUCCUUAAGGGGUUAAAGGGACUCUCCAGUGCCAGGAAAACAAUCUGUUUUCCUGGCACUGCAGGUCCCCUCUUCCUCCCACCUCCCAUCCCCGGUUGCUGAAGGGGUCAAAACCCCGUCAGUGACUUACCAGAGGCAGCGACGAUGUCCCUCGGCGCUGCUUCUUGGUCCGCCCACGCUCCUCCCCAUCACCACGUCAGCCGGCCGGGGAGACUGAUCAUGCCCGCCGGCGGGGGAGACCUAAUGCGCAUGCGCAGAAAUGCCGCGCACGCGCAUUAGACCUCCCCAUAGGAAAGCAUUGAAAAUGCUUUCAAUGCUUUCCUAUGGGGAUUUUAGCGACGCUGGAAAUCCUCACAUAGCGUGAGGUCGUCCAGCAAUGCUAUAGCACAGAAAAUCUGUGCUAUAAUCCCGGAAGUGGCGUUAACCCUGCAAGGUAAUUAUUGCAGUUGAUAAAAACUGCAAUAAUUACAGUUGCAGGGUUAAGGGUAGUGGGAGUUGGCACCCAGACCACUCCAAUGGGCAGAAGUGGUCUGGGUACCUGGAGUGUCCCUUUAAGUUGUUAUGCGGGGAAGCUUGUCCAGGUGCUAACUUAUCUUCAUUAGCUAAAUCAUUUUGCAACCAAUUAACCGAAAUUUUGGGGCCUGAUACUACUGCUAGACUUGUAAAAUGGUUUAAACCCUGAUGAUAAGAUGAUGUCUUAACACUCCUACUCCUAUAACAAUUUAAAUGAGUUUAAAUUGUAAAGGGUGGGAGUAUACUUUUAGGUAUAUAUAGUUUAGCUUUAUGCCAAUAUGGCAUUCAUUUGCAUUACAUUGAUUUUCACUUAUGUACAAAAAAAGUUUUUGUUUUCAUUAGUAAACCGAGCCCAACUCCUCAUUAUUAAAGGGACACACCAUCCAUGCAUGAUACAUACUGCAGCUUAUAAUAGUGGUUAUAGGGGGCUAUGAUGCCAGUCCUUUCAUAAUUUGACAUCAUCAAGGUUUUUAACCAACACCAGACAAAUGCACAACACACUAAGACACCCCCAAACAUCUGCAGGUAUUAUAAUGAGGAAAUCCACUGGUUCUUUGCAGGUACAGAGAAUUUGAAUGGUGCUUGUAGUGCUUGUAGUGCUCAUUUAAAUAAUCUGUGAUUUUUUUUCCCCUUAGACAUAUAAAAUAAUUUUGAUUGUAUGUGUAUAUGAACAGCAUAAUAACAACAACAAAUUAUUCAUAUUUUUCAAACUUUCAUUGAGAAUCACAAUUAGAAGUUAGACGUAGUACCACUUUAAAAUGUUGAAGACUUGUAUCUCACAGCUUAUUUCUACAGUUAUAAGAAGAAUGACAUCAGUUUUGUAAGUGAAUCAUAUCGCCACUAUGCUAGAAAACUAAAAAUGUGCAUAAAUUUCAUAUUGCUCGUCUCUCUUUUCUUAUUGUUCGUUUUCUCUUUAGUCAGAUUCUCUCUUCUCCUUAUUGCCCCUAUUCUCUUCCUCUAUUGUUUCUCGGUUUCCUUAUUUUACCAUGUUAGCCUUCUCUGUAUUACCUCCAGUGCUAUCCUUUCAUUCACCCCAACUUACCCUUGCAAUAUUUUGUGUAUUUUCAAUGUCUCAUAUUUCCUGCCACCCUUUUAUCAUACUCUAUCCUUUUCUGCUCAUGGGUAAGAAUUUUGAUGGAUGAUAACAAGCACAUAAUAAUGUCUGAGAAAGAGCAUCCUCGAAUGACUGUUUUUAAAAUUGAAAUACGGAAAUUACCUUCAAACAGUUAUACAGCAUCCUGGACAUUUGCCAAAAAGACUGAAAAAUUGUACAAUAAAAAUGUUCUCAAAAAGCCAAGAUCAAUGAGUACAUUUGUCUGAAAAUGAGAAACAUCUAAAAGCAACAUUAAGACAUUAAGAUUACAACGUGAAACCCAAAAGUUACAUUAGUGGAUAUUUUAUGGGCUCUGGAUGUAUUACUUAAAGCACAUAAACCAGAGGAAAACCAGGUACCCACAGGUGUAGGAAAGCUACACAACACUUAAUUAAGUAACAUAUUGCUUUACAUUAUUACAAAAAAAAUAUAAAAAUGCAAUUAUCGAUAUAAUUAAGGUCAACAGAUGUAUUUCCAUGAAUAUAAAAGCGUACAUGCCAGUUUAACUCUAUAAAAUGACCUCUGUGUAUUUAUCAUAAAUAAUGAAUAUACACUUGUAAUGAAAAGUAAG